Long non-coding RNA from Numida meleagris (helmeted guineafowl), 1077 nucleotides. RefSeq lists it as uncharacterized. NCBI's taxonomy places the organism in Eukaryota, Metazoa, Chordata, Aves, Galliformes, Numididae. The transcript has 4 exons. The record is from RefSeq and is a predicted model, not a curated record.
GCAGUUCCUUGGCAGUGAAAAAAGUCUGUGUGGACCCACCACUUGGGGCUGAGUUUGGAAGAACAGUGAUGCUACGGAAAAAAUGUCUGAAGCAAUUAUUGAAGCACUACCCCGUGCUUGUCCUCCUUGCAGAACCAGGAAGCUAUGGUAGUGAUGGAAGUGGAAACAGCAGAAGUAUUCUAUGCUGCACCCUGAAUGCAGUAUUGACGGAGUAAGGUUAAAAUCUGCUCACCUGAAAUCCAAGGCUGCAUUUUUCCCUCUUCACUCCUCUCAGGAUCUUGAACUCAACAUCCUCAUAUCUACCUCAUGAAAAUAAAUUGUGUAAACAAAUAAUAAUAAUAAAGAUUCAAUGUGAGUUUAUGGAAAGUUGAUUGCACUAAACUAGCUGUACAUGAUUUUACUGAAAUGCCAAGUAUUACAAAUUUCUUUGUAUUUUAUUCCUACAAUGAUUAAUUUUUUUUCUGAACCAUUGAAAUUAAUACCAUACAAAGUUUUUAUUAAGAAUAUGGAAUGGUAUGGAUGAAAAAUGGUGCAUAUUAAUUAGAUUGAAUGUGGGUUAGAUGGUGUAUCUCAAAACAGAGUGAGGGAAUUGCCACUAACUAGUUGUGUUUAUGGGGCUGUUUUUGGUUUUGCUAGUUUUCUCACAAAUCUCACUAAAUUUUCACUGAUAAUAGUGAACACUUCUAAAAUGUAAGUAAAUGCUUAGUAAAGAAGAGGAUACAGCACUCAUAAGUAUUAUUUAUUUUUUAUUGACUCAUAAAAAUAUUAGUCUUUUACCUUGACUAAGUGUAUGAUCCCAAGAGUACAGCUGAGACCUGGGAGAGCUGAAAGUUGGAACAGUGGAUAUUCAGUGAAGAUGUCAUGGAAGAGUCACUCCCUGGAAGGGACAGGUUUGGUUUGAAAAAAGUGGACCUAGGAAGGAAAGCAAGCAAUGGACAUAUUUAUGGUUAUAUUUGUUUAAUGGUUUUAUGUGGCAAAACACUUAGUCUGGUUUUCUGAUUGCUAUCUCUGGCUUGUUUUCCUGUGGUGCCAGCCAAAGACGUUUCAACACUAAAGUUUUAAUUAGCCUCCACUUCU